This 337-nucleotide long non-coding RNA is filed under the name Helianthus annuus (common sunflower). RNAcentral's name for it is "sRNA HanXRQr2_Chr03g0118431". Lineage: Eukaryota; Viridiplantae; Streptophyta; Magnoliopsida; Asterales; Asteraceae. The record is from RNAcentral.
GUGAUCUGAUUUCUUGGAGUUUCUUUUUAAGGGUUUUGAGUGAUGGAAUGAUGCUCGAUGAGAAAGAUUUUGCUGCAUAAGAUGGACAAAAUUGAAAAAAGAGGGACUGAUGACACCCAAAUGUCAUUCUAUCAUCUUUGUUCUUGAAGAAGAUUUGGAUGAUAAGAAGAGACCUAUACCAGUGUAAAUGCUACUUUGGCCUCGAUGAUUAUAAUGAAGAUGAUGGGCAGAUAGCAUCCCCCACAAACGGUUGAUCUAUAUCUCCAACAUCCACAAAGACACUUCAACACAUGAACAAAGAAAAUAAACAAUGUCAAACCCAGAACGCCAUUUAUUU